Molecule: RNA transcript, 657 nt
Organism: Pogoniulus pusillus (Red-fronted tinkerbird)
Lineage: Eukaryota; Metazoa; Chordata; Aves; Piciformes; Lybiidae
Gene name: protein disulfide-isomerase TMX3-like
Exons: 4
Source: RefSeq, a predicted model, not a curated record
GUAGGUUAACAAGAUGCUUGACAUUUGCCCUUAAUGGUCAUUGUCUUCAAAUGCAUCAUUCGGGAGUGAAGUUGCUUGGCAUUUGCAGUUGACUACUUCUUCUCUGGCCUUUGGAGUGAAGGAAGGGAAAAACCAGAGUUGAAGAUGUCAGCUCUGUGCCAAAAAGGAGACCUUCUUCACCUGCUUCUCCUGUGCAAGCUCUUCUGUCUGUCUGCUGAGAUGUUUCUGCCUGUUUCUCUGGCAGAGAAGUGUUUGCUUUUUGGGCUGGCGAGCUGACCAUCCGUACUACCGUCGCCUUGAAUGCCUCCAACCAGCAGUGUUUGCUGCCAGACAGACACCUGGAGAAGACAGAGGACAUGGUUAAGUUCAUGAAGGAUAUCUUGGAUGGUGCUGCUGAAGCACAGGCUGGUGAUGGACUUCUGCAACGAAGCAAGAGAGUCAUCUAUGAGGCCAAGGCUGCUGUAAUGGUAGAGUUCAUUGCUUAUUCAGUGAGGUGAUGCUCUUGUCAGUCAAGAAGGACUUAGUUGCAGAGGCUUUAGAAAUGCUUUGAUGUAAGCUUGUUGCUAUGCUGUGCCUAGUGUAUCUAUUGUCACUAUUUAGAACUAGGCUUAAACCAAAUGAACUUCUGGAUUAAAACAGCCAAUCAUGUCUGCCACA